This 582-nucleotide ribosomal RNA is filed under the name uncultured Pseudomonadota bacterium. Its description in RNAcentral is "bacterial SSU rRNA". It matches the Rfam family "Bacterial small subunit ribosomal RNA", at positions 102 to 680 of the family's 1533-position model. Lineage: Bacteria; Pseudomonadati; Pseudomonadota. The record is from RNAcentral.
ACGGGUGAGUAAUACAUCGGAACGUGCCCAGUAGUGGGGGAUAGCCCGGCGAAAGCCGGAUUAAUACCGCAUACGACCUACGGGUGAAAGCGGGGGAUCGCAAGACCUCGCGCUAUUGGAGCGGCCGAUGUCAGAUUAGCUAGUUGGUGGGGUAAAAGCCUACCAAGGCGACGAUCUGUAGCUGGUCUGAGAGGACGACCAGCCACACUGGGACUGAGACACGGCCCAGACUCCUACGGGAGGCAGCAGUGGGGAAUUUUGGACAAUGGGCGCAAGCCUGAUCCAGCCAUGCCGCGUGCGGGAAGAAGGCCUUCGGGUUGUAAACCGCUUUUGUCAGGGAAGAAACGGCCUGAUCUAAUAAAUCGGGCUAAUGACGGUACCUGAAGAAUAAGCACCGGCUAACUACGUGCCAGCAGCCGCGGUAAUACGUAGGGUGCAAGCGUUAAUCGGAAUUACUGGGCGUAGAGCGUGCGCAGGCGGCUUUGCAAGACAGAUGUGAAAUCCCCGGGCUUAACCUGGGAACUGCAUUUGUGACUGCAUGGCUAGAGUGCGGCAGAGGGGGAUGGAAUUCCGCGUGUAGCA